UUUCCGUAGGUGAACCUGCGGAAGGAUCAUUCAUAAUAAGUGUUUUAUGGCACUUUUUUAAAUCCAUAUCCACCUUGUGUGCAAUGUCAGGGUUGAUUUUUCUAUCGAGAGGAUCAGCCCCAAACAUCAACUAUAUCUCAACUCUUUGUCUGAAAAAUAUUAUGAAUAAAACAAUUCAAAAUACAACUUUCAACAACGGAUCUCUUGGCUCUC
RNAcentral lists this unclassified non-coding RNA (213 nucleotides) under plant metagenome. RNAcentral describes it as "partial contains small subunit ribosomal RNA, internal transcribed spacer 1, and 5.8S ribosomal RNA". The record is from RNAcentral.